AUUGAACGCUGGCGGCAUGAUUUACACAUGCAAGUCGAACGGUAACAGGCCGCAAGGUGCUGACGAGUGGCGAACGGGUGAGUAAUGCAUCGGAACGUGCCCAGUCGUGGGGGAUAACUACUCGAAAGAGUAGCUAAUACCGCAUACGAUCUAUGGAUGAAAGCGGGGGACCGUAAGGCCUCGCGCGAUUGGAGCGGCCGAUGUCAGAUUAGGUAGUUGGUGGGGUAAAGGCUCACCAAGCCAACGAUCUGUAGCUGGUCUGAGAGGACGACCAGCCACACUGGGACUGAGACACGGCCCAGACUCCUACGGGAGGCAGCAGUGGGGAAUUUUGGACAAUGGGCGCAAGCCUGAUCCAGCAAUGCCGCGUGCAGGAAGAAGGCCUUCGGGUUGUAAACUGCUUUUGUACGGAACGAAACGGCUCUGGUUAAUACCCGGGGCUAACGACGGUACCGUAAGAAUAAGCACCGGCUAACUACGUG
This 482-nucleotide ribosomal RNA is filed under the name uncultured bacterium. Its description in RNAcentral is "partial 16S ribosomal RNA". It matches the Rfam family "Bacterial small subunit ribosomal RNA", at positions 30 to 507 of the family's 1533-position model. The record is from RNAcentral.